RNAcentral lists this ribosomal RNA (440 nucleotides) under uncultured Blastocystis sp. RNAcentral describes it as "bacterial SSU rRNA". It matches the Rfam family "Eukaryotic small subunit ribosomal RNA", at positions 477 to 933 of the family's 1831-position model. Lineage: Eukaryota; Bigyra; Opalinata; Blastocystidae. The record is from RNAcentral.
ACAAUGCGGAACUUUUAGUUUUGCAAUUGGAUUGAGAACAAUGUACAAAUGUUAUCGAUAAACAAUUGGAGGGCAAGUCUGGUGCCAGCAGCCGCGGUAAUUCCAGCUCCAAUAGCGUAUAUUAACGUUGUUGCAGUUAAAAAGCUCGUAGUUGAAAUGUGGGAUGAAGUAUAUAAUGAAUUUCUAAUUCAAUUCUAUAUUGAUUCCCCUCUCCAAUUUAUUAUUAUGGGUAUUAAUUUAUUUGUAAUAAGAAUUGGUCAUUUACUGUGAGAAAAUUAGAGUGUUCAAAGCAGGCAUUUGCUUGAAUAGAUUAGCAUGGAAUAAUACUAAAAGGCUUUUAUGGUCGAUUUAAUUGGUUUGUUCAUAAAAGCAAGAUUAAAAGGAACAGUUGGGGGUAUUCAUAUUCAAUAGUUAGAGGUGAAAUUCUCGGAUUUAUGGAA